This is an RNA transcript of Musa acuminata AAA Group (dessert banana), 7217 nucleotides long. It is a transcript of the gene named photosystem I reaction center subunit III, chloroplastic-like, with no coding region annotated. The record is from RefSeq and is a predicted model, not a curated record. Lineage: Eukaryota; Viridiplantae; Streptophyta; Magnoliopsida; Zingiberales; Musaceae. The transcript has 7 exons.
UGUGAUCCGCAGGUGAAGAUAGGUGCAGAAAGAAAGGGAAGGUGCUCAAUCUGUGUUCAUAACACAAAGUCUAUGCUUAGUGUGGUGUACUUAAGAUUUGUAUAUCUACUUGUAAUUCAUGUUUGGACUUAUCAUAUUUCAGAAGCCAACUGAUCUAUGUUUCAGACCUUAAUCUCAAGCUGCUCUUCUCAGAAUCUGUACUGGAGUCUUAUGCACUGAUCUAUGUGUUCAUAACACAUCGUUUGACAUGGGAAUAGCAGCUAAAAUCUUUUGUAUGAUUCUGUAGGAAAUUAGCAGGAGUAUAUUUUUCAUUACUACAGAUAACCAACUUUCUAUGGCAAACGGUGAGAGUUCAAAAGACAAUUCUAAGUAUGUCAAUUAUCUUAGUUGGUAACGAGUGGAAUUACUUCCCGUCUUCAUCAUUUAUUAUUUAUAGUGUAAAAAUAUAUAUUUAUAAUAAAAAUUUUAGAUAAAUUAACAUAUAUAUAUAUAUAUAUAUAAAGAUAUUGAUGUGUAAAAUAAAGAUUAAGUUAAAAAUAAAAAAUUAUAGUAGUAAUAUAAAAAAAAAAAGUUGAAUGCAUAUAGUAACUCUAUUUCACUCUGACUCAAAAUCCUCACAGAAGCAGUAUCUAAUAAAAGAUAGAAAAUUGAAGAGUAGUCUCUCUCUCUCUCUCGAUAAAGGAUGGAUUAAAUAUAAAGGAAAAAUAUUAUUUUCUAUCAACCAUUGGAAUUUUAAGGUUCCGCUUUGGACUCGGACGCCAACAUUGACAUCAGCACCAAGAUCGACUCUCGGACGCGUGCUUAUCGUUGAUUCGACUAAAACCCAGAACCCACCUGCUUUGGGCCCACAAGGAGUUCCCACUGUACCUUCUCAUCUAAUCGAAAUGUUCCCGCAGCAAAUCCCACUGCUUCUCAUGUCGCCUUCCGCAGCCGACCAAGAUUCAAGAUGGAGCACGGCGGCGAUCCCAUCCCCUACUUCUUCCAUUUCAUGGAAGAUCUUAAAACGCUGCGAGGGGAGAACAAUAGAUGCACGGAGGCGAAUCGGAGAGUGAAUUCGGAAAUUGGACGUCCAUUUCCAUUCCCGUUUCCCAAAAGAGGGAGGAAAAAGAAACGGGUUGCAAUUCUGAGGAAAAACGUAGAGAUGGCCCUCAUUUCGGAGAUUGCGGACGAGGCCCCUGACGAGGAGGAAGGGUCGACGGCGAUGGUGGAGCCCAAAGAGGAGCCGCGUGGUGAGAGUUCACAAGGGUCGCCGGUGGAGGAGCCGUCGAAAAUGGGACCGUCGUUGGGGGGGGGGGCAGACGCUUUAUAAGGAGUGCGCGCUCCGCGUGGCCUACGUCAUGCGGAGCUACCUCCUCAUGCGGCAGGUCGGCACCCCAGGCCACGGCCAGCCUCCAGCUCCGCCCCCGCGGGAGGGCAGAUGCAAGGCGAUGAUGGAGGUGGUGCGGAAGGAGCAUGGCAGUUGGAUGGUUUCGAAGUUUGUCGCUGAGCACAACCACGGGCUUCUGCCAGGUCAUGUGCUGGCUGGUGGAGGUCAGGGCGUGGUUUUGGCGCCGGCGGUAGGCACGGAAUUUGAGUCCGUGGAGGCCGCGAAGACCUUCUAUUACGGCUACGGUGAGAAAUUGGGGUUCAAGGCUCAGACGGGCUCUAACCGUAGGUCGGCAGGCAGCAGAGCGCUCAUCAUGCAGAGGUUCUUGUGUUGGCGGGGCAAUUAUCUGAUAUACAGGAGGAGUUUCAUUUCUAGUGUUGGGAAACGGAAGCGAGAGCUCACAGGCUCGUGCAGGAGGUGUCAAGAGCUAAGAAAGAUCAGGAUGCUGCAGAGGUUUCUUAAGUUGAGAGCUCUACUGAGAAGGUAGCACCGGCUGGAGAGGAUCAUGGUCAAGAGGUUCAGAGUGGCAGUCUUAGAAAAGUAGUCACAUCUUUGGAGAAAGAUGUGAGGCCAAAACCAAUUUCUUCAGCUGGUUUGGCAACCGCAUCAAAGGCUAGAGUGAAGGAUGGUGGUAAGACAAACCCUGCAGCCAAUGCUAGUCAAUCUCAGCUAUUGAGAGCACUUGGUGUGAGAGUGUAUAGGUACACAGAGGAAGAAAGGAGAGAUAUAAUUCUUAUGUACUUGAUGAAACAAACAAAUAGAGCAGGCAUAAAAAGGCCUACCAAGGUAUGCUUAUGAAUUCUUCUAGUUGCAGAAUUCCCCAUUACAUUGGAUCAUGAAGAAUUUUUUAGUAGAACCAGAUGUUAGUCAUAGCUGCGACAUACGGAGAGCUACAAUUAUUGAUCAUAUUGUUGGAGUACUCACACUCUCUGGCCACAUGGAUUGAGUUUUUCGAUCAGGCAGUUUGGUUGUUCACGUUUUGUUGAAUGGCCACUGGUUCCUGCACUUUGUAGGUUCCUUCAAGGUAAGCUUUGGCUGAAGGCAUCAGCGGGGUAUUGGAGGAUGAUUUCUUAGCAGAGAUGAAUUGCAGUUAGAAGAUAUUCUUAUAGAUUCUUAGGCUAAGCUCUUGAGUAUUUCUUGGUGUCAGUAAGUCAUUUAUCAGCAUCGUCUAGCCAUAUUUUGCUUAUAGAAUCAUUUGUCUUUUUGGACAUUUAAUAAGUACAGGAUCUGCCGUAUUGGCAUCUUUCAAUAGAGAUCUAUUGAAAGAUGUUUAGUUUAUUCUUUCUAGCUAUUUUUGGAUUAUUUAAAGAUAACCUCGUCAGAUUAAGAGAAAAUAUUUAAUUGUUGACUUGAUGGAUAAACAAGGAGCAUCAGUGAUAAAAUGUAUGAUGAAAACCUUAUACUAGUGAUUGAGUAUUCUUUAUAUGAAGCAUGUUAUGAUCACAAAUAAAAUUACUUUUUGUCACACAUCAAGAUAGCAUUUGUGUGACCUUGUCUUUCAUCCUAUAUAAGAGAGAAGAAAGAAAUAUCUUGGUGCUACCAUUCAUGUAAGUUAAUUGUGUUGGAAUCUUAAUAAUGAUCAAUUCAACAGGAAUAUAUGAGUAGGAUCUCUGGAUUUUGGCAUUCCGGUUUUCUUGCUGAGAAGAAUCAUUAGAAAGCACGAUGCUGAUGAACCGUGCAACUCCAUCUGCGAAGGGUUUACCUACAGCUUGCAUAUAGCAUUGCAAUAUAUUUCUUAAAGAUUUAGUACUAAUAAUGGUGUGUACUUACUGUACACAAAACAUAUUUAAUUCACCUUUCUGUUUCUUUGAAGAUGCAUGAAGUGAAGCUGUCGUUUUCUGUUGCCUUCAUCCAUGCUUGUUUUCUUAUUGAGAAAUUUGUAACAAGUGAGCAAAUGUUACACACAAUGUCUGUGCCGGAUUUGGCAUCAAAGAAGAGUGAACAGCUAAUAAGAGUGUAGAUUAUGUAGGUUUUAUUGCUUGUCGUUCUAGUGCUUCUUGGGAUUGUGAACAUACUGCAAGUUGUUGAAAGCAAUUAAUGCAUAUGGUGUAGAUUUGCAAUCAAUGUGUAUGGUCAGGGACUUAGUGCUUAAGGAUGAUAUUGCACCUACAAAUUAUGGUGUAGAUUUGCAAUCUGUCCUAAGUUUCUUGGCAAAGAAAUAUACAGUUUGUUGCUUUGUUGAAUUCCAUGAUGCAAGUCUUUCCAACUGAAUAGUGUAUGUAAAUUGAUGCUGUGGUUUUAGAAGUUUAUCAUCCGCGAGCAGAUAUAGAAGUGAUUCAUUGUUCCAAUAUGCAUCUAUUACAUGUCUUUGACUCGUAUGUUCCUCCUAUCGCUUCAUGCUUUUGUGAACACGUCUUGAGCUAGUAUUUUUAGAAUAACUGAUUUUCCUUUACCCCCUUGUUAGAUUCCAAGAAGACGAGGAAAUUACAGAAGUGGUAUCACAUGCUCCCACAGAUGAUGCAUUAAAUGCAGGUGGAGAGCCAAAAGUUGGAAUGGUUUUCUCAAAUGAAGUUAAGGCAUAUGAGUUUUACAUUAGGUAUGCUGGAACUGUUGGUUUCAGUGUUCGGAAAGGUUGGUGGGAUAAAUCUGCUAGGAAUGUUACUAGAUCUAUAGUUUAUGUGUGCUCAAGAGAAGGGUAUCGUCCAACCAACAUAACAAAUGAGGCCAAGAAAACAGGAUCAGAAACAAGAACUGGUUGCUCGGCACGUUUGGCAAUCAAAAUUACACCUGACGGCAAAUAUUGUGUGAUUGAAUUUGUCGCUGACCAUAACCAUCAGCUCACAGCUCUCUUAGAUAUUCAAAUGUUGAGGUUACAAAGGCUGUUAGCUAAGUUUCAGACUGGAGGCCGACAAGGUGCCAGUCAAAUUCCUGCUAGUUACAAAAAUUAUCUCAGAUCAAAGCGUAUGAAGAACUUACAGAGUGGUGUUGCAGGUGCUUUGAUGGAGUAUUUGCAAAAGAUGAAAGGGGAUAACCCAUCUUUCUUUUAUGCCAUACAAGUUGAUGAAGCUGAGCAACUGACAAAUGUUUUCUGGGCAGAUCCAAAAUCCAUCAUGGAUUACCAUUACUUUGGUGACAUAAUAUGUUUUGACACAGCCUAUCAAAUAAAUGAUUAUGGCCGACCCUUGGUGCUGUUCACUGGUGUUAAUCAUCAUAAACAAAUAAUUAUUUUUGGUUCUGCAUUCCUGUAUGAUGUAAAUUUAGAAUCCUUUAAAUGGUUGUUGGAGACUUUCAAGAACACAACGGGUGGAGAACAGCCAAAGACAAUUUUAACAGAUCAGUUUUCAGCAAUCAGUGAUGCAAUUGCUGCUGCAUGGCUUGGCACAACUCACCGUCUUUCUGCAUGGCACAUAUAUCAGAAUCCGAAGAGGUACCUUUGUCAUGCUUUCCAAGGCUAUGAAACUUUUGCAGAUGAUUUUGGCAGAUGUAUGUAUGACUUGGAGGAGGAGCAGGAAUUCCUUUCUGCAUGGGAGGUAAUGCUGGAAAAGUAUGAUCUAAAAGACAAUGAAUGGUUAGGUCAGUUGUAUGGAAAAAAGAAGUGGGCGUUGGUCUAUGGACGUCAAGUUUUUUCUGCAGACUUAACAAAUACACUACGGAAUGAGAACUUGCACAGUGUUAUGAAUGAAUUCUUGACACCAGAGAUUGAUCUUUUGCCAUUUUUAAGGCAGUAUGAAAAGUUAUUAGAAGAGCAAUGAUAUGCAGAACGACAAGUUGAUUAUCUUGCAAACCAAGGGACGAACAGAAUACCUCCUCUGCGGAUGCUUUGGCAAGCUGCAAAUGCAUAUACCCCUGCAAUCUUUGAGAUGUUUAGAUUAGAGUUUGAGCUGUUCAGGAAUUGUGUGCUUUAUUCCUGCUGUGAGGUUGGAACUGUAGCCAAGUAUGAGGUUAAUACCGAUGAGAAAACAAAAGCACACUUUGUUACUUUUGACUUGUUAGAUGGUACAAGCUUAUGUAGCUGCAAAAAUUUUUGAGUUUGUUGGGGUCCAGUGUUGCCAUGCCUUGAAAGUACUCGACUUAAGAAACAUCAAGGAACUCCCACCACACUACAUUUUGAAAAGAUGGAGGAAAGAUGCUAAAGCACAUUUCAUAACACAUAAUCAUAACUUUGUUCUUGAUGGCAAUCACAAAUCAUCUCUAGCAGGACGUUGUCGCUCAUUGUGCCGCAUAUUGUAUCAAAUUGCAGUGAAGGCUGUAGAGAAUGCAGAAACAUAUGCUUUCAAGGAAAGCCAAUCAGAUCAGCUUCUGGAACAGAUUGAAAGCAUUUUAUACACCAAACUACUUGAGAAGACUGCCUCAACCACUGCCUCAAAGGGUCAACUGCAGAAUCUGGUUCAGAAUGGAAGUAACAGUGGUGGAUCGCACGGGUUAAGUGGUAAAUGGAAGAAGAAUGUGGACCCCCAUCCUAGCCUUCUAAAUGUGCUGGGCUCAAAUAAACAACAAAAGGGAUCACGAGGACUGUAUGGAACUUCAUUCUAGCAUUGUAUUUUUUUUCUCUCUUUUUCUUUGCAUGCUUAUGUUCCCAUCGUCUCUUUAUGUUUUUUGGAUUUCAGAAAGUGAUAUCCUCUACACUGUAGCAUGUAGUUAUCUAUUCUACUUAACAUAGGAGCAUCUGAUGAGGCCGAAGUUCCAGUGGGCAUUGCUGAAGGACCCUUAUCAACUGAUGUUACUUCUAAUGGUAGGAAUCCUCCACAGUUUUUUGUUCCAACUCAGUUCAUACAGGCGUCUUUUGUAUCUGCUCAUCAAUUUGGACUUAAUGGUGUACAAGGUUUCCAUGGAAUUGCACAAUUUAAUCAGGAAUCGUCAGCUACUACACUACAACAACCAUUUCAUAAUAGCUCUCAUUUGAGCCGCAUAAUCAUACUUGCCCAGUCUCAGAUGUAAAUGCCUUACAAUUUACCAUACCGGCAUGGGAUUUUCUAUAAACGUCUUAUUUACUUCCCAGUUCAAUGGUGAAGAACUGCAGUUAGGUAACAUGAAAAGUUAUGCCUCAUGGGAUUGAAUACAGAUUGCAAAUUCAGAUGUUUAUCAAGAAAGAAAAUGAGCUGUCAACCUUCACAGUGCAGAUAUGGUAUGAUUACGCCCAUUCCUUUGAUGGUUCAAUAGCUCUUGUCAUGCUCCCUUCAGCUACAUUUUUAUGGUUAUCUCAAGUAUUUUCUGGCUUGGAAAGUCUUCAGCCCCAUUUGCGUUUUUUUCUGUUCACAUGUUCUACAAGUAUAAUUGGUUUGUCAGCAUUGGUUAUUUUCUGGCUAAGAUUGUGGUUCGUUAAUCAGAAUGGUAGGUGGAAGUUUUGUUGGGAAAUGCAUUAGAAAAUGGUUACUAUUGUGGGAAAGAGGUUUGAAGGACAAGUGAAACAAACAGCAGCUAGUUUCAGCUGGGAAAUGCAUUAGAAAAUGGCUACAACCAUGGUAAAGAGAUACAGAAGGAUUGAAAAUGAAACAACUGCAGAUGCCAACAUGAAUUCUCUUGUCGAGUAUGGUAGAUGUAUUUGUCCGAGUGGUUCAAGCGUAGCAGAAAUGCAUUUUUGUGAUAUGCCAAUGCUAGAGACCUGAUUUGAAAUAUUUGCUGCGUCAACGGCCAUACGAAGAGCAUUAUGUAUCAGAGGUUUCAAGCAAAAUCAUGGACUAUUGGCUAAGCUUUGAUGCUAAUUGUUGCUGCAGGCAAGGGGAAAACAGUAAGCUCCAUCACUAGUGUCUCUCAUGUGAGUUCUCUAUUCAUCCAUUGGAAGUUUGCGCAAACCUCCAUUCAUGAGAAGCUUGUCAUAUCUGAUACUAAAUUACUAGAUAGCAUCAUGUAGAAUAACAUUGAAUUCUUGUAGACUCUUGAGUACUGGAUGAACUGCUGGAGCCUUUCUCUC